AUCAUACUCCCUUCGUCUCAAAAUUCUUGUUUUAGAUUCGUCUAGAUACGGAUGUAUCUAAUACUAAAACGUGACUUGAUACAUCCGUAUUUAGAAAAAUCUGAGACAAGAAUUUUGGGACGGAGGGAGUACUAU
Triticum aestivum (bread wheat) is the source of this 135-nucleotide non-coding RNA. The record is from Rfam. NCBI's taxonomy places the organism in Eukaryota, Viridiplantae, Streptophyta, Magnoliopsida, Poales, Poaceae.